UUGAUAGUACCUUACUACUUGGAUACCUGUGGUAAUUCUAGAGCUAAUACAUGCUAAAAACCUCGACUUCGGAAGGGGUGUAUUUAUUAGAUAAAAAACCAAUGCCCUCCGGGGCUCCUUGGUGACUCAUAAUAACUUUACGAAUCGCAUGGCCUUGAGCCGGCGAUGGUUCAUUCAAAUUUCUGCCCUAUCAAUUUUCGAUGGUUGUAUAGAGGUCGGUACCCCCGUUUCCUUCCCUAUAUAACCCCCAGGCCUCCUCUCCGCCGGGCGUUGUCCCCCCGGAGGGGUUGGCCCUUUUUUUUCCCCCCUUUCUGCCUUUUCUCUCCAAGGGGCAAACCAGCUAACGAUUUCUUUUAGGACAACCAUGGUUUCUACGGGUAACGGGGAAUUAGGGUUCGAUUCCGGAGAGGGAGCCUGAGAAACGGCUACCACAUCCAAGGAAGGCAGCAGGCGCGCAAAUUACCCAAUCUCAAUACGAGGAGGUAGUGACAAUAAAUACUGAUGUUGGGAUCAUUUGGUUCUAACAAUUGGAAUGAGUACAAUCUAAAUCCCUACCAAUCGUUAGGGGAUCAAUGCGAUCCAGUUGGGGCUCUCGGCCCCGGCGACGCUUCCACUCUUUCGAGGAGUUCGCGUCUGCGAGCGAUUCGGAGCCCCCAGCGGGUAAAGAGACUACAAGGAGGCGGGCGGAGGUGGCCUGCAGGCCCUCCGCUGAAGGUAUAGUCCAGCAUCUGGCGCCAGCCUGUGAUGGGACCUGUAACGAGGAACAAUUGGAGGGCAAGUCUGGUGCCAGCAGCCGCGGUAAUUCCAGCUCCAAUAGCGUAUAUUAAAGUUGUUGCAGUUAAAAAGCUCGUAGUUGAAACUUGGGUCUGGCCGACUGGUCCGCCUCACCGCGAGUACUGGCUCGGCCGGGCCUUUCCUUCUGGGGAACCUCAUGUCCUUAAGUGGGCGUGAUGGGGAACCAGGACUUUUACUUUGAAAAAAUUAGAGUGUUCAAAGCAGGCCUAUGCUCGAAUACAUUAGCAUGGAAUAAUAGAAUAGGACGUGUGGUUCUAUUUUGUUGGUUUCUAGGACCGCCG
Molecule: ribosomal RNA, 1076 nt
Filed under: Bacidia schweinitzii
Lineage: Eukaryota; Fungi; Ascomycota; Lecanoromycetes; Lecanorales; Ramalinaceae
Description: partial 18S ribosomal RNA
Rfam family: Eukaryotic small subunit ribosomal RNA
Source: RNAcentral